GAAAGAUGGUUCUGCUAUCACUCUUGGAUGGACCUGCGGUGCAUUAGCUAGUUGGUAAGGUAACGGCUUACCAAGGCAAUGAUGCAUAGCCGAGUUGAGAGACUGAUCGGCCACAUUGGGACUGAGACACGGCCCAAACUCCUACGGGAGGCAGCAGUAGGGAAUCUUCCACAAUGGACGAAAGUCUGAUGGAGCAACGCCGCGUGAGUGAAGAAGGGUUUCGGCUCGUAAAGCUCUGUUGGUAGUGAAGAAAGAUAGAGGUAGUAACUGGCCUUUAUUGACGGUAAUUACUUAGAAAGUCACGGCUAACUACGUGCCAGCAGCCGCGGUAAUACGUAGGUGGCAAGCGUUGUCCGGAUUUAUUGGGCGUAAAGCGAGUGCAGGCGGUUCAAUAAGUCUGAUGUGAAAGCCUUCGGCUCAACCGGAGAAUUGCAUCAGAAGCUGUUGAACUUGAGUGCAGAAGAGGAGAGUGGAACUCCAUGUGUAGCGGUGGAAUGCGUAGAUAUAUGGAAGAACACCAGUGGCGAAGGCGGCUCUCUGGUCUGCAACUGACGCUGAGGCUCGAAAGCAUGGGUAGCGAACAGGAUUAGAUACCCUGGUAGUCCAUGCCGUAAACGAUGAGUGCUAAGUGUUGGGAGGUUUCCGCCUCUCA
Molecule: ribosomal RNA, 652 nt
Filed under: uncultured bacterium
Lineage: Bacteria
Description: bacterial SSU rRNA
Rfam family: Bacterial small subunit ribosomal RNA
Source: RNAcentral